UAGCAGUUUUAUGAAAAAAAAGUCUAACUCAAAGUGAGCGUUAAAAAGCUGUGUCAUCAUCUGUCUCUGUGCGUGAGACAAACGAGAUGAGAAUCGUCUCAGUCAGAGGAAAUCCAGCAUGUAAUCCUGCUCAGCUCAUCACUUUGAGACCUGAGUUACGUAACGCUCAGCAAACAGGUAACGACUGUCACUGAUACUCACAUAUCCACACAAUUUCAUAAUAAAGUACAGUACACUCACCAACCACCUGAUGACUGUUGCACAAAACUUGAAAAUACUUUCUUGAUUUCUUAGUGUAGUAUGAUUUUAUACAUCUUAGGUGACUAAAGGCAUAUAGGUGAUGUCAGUCAGUUCAUCUUAAGCCAGAGUUGAUGCACUGAAGACCAACACUAAUUUCAGGAUUUGCCAGCUGUUUGGACUCUCAUUCUGACGGCACCCAUUCAGAUCCAUUGUUGAGCAAUGAUAAAUUCCUCCAAAUCUGUUCUCAUUAGGAAACAAACUCAUCUGCAUUUUGGAUGGCCUGAAGCUUCCUGGACUGCUGCUGUCU
Cyprinus carpio carpio is the source of this 547-nucleotide long non-coding RNA. Lineage: Eukaryota; Metazoa; Chordata; Actinopteri; Cypriniformes; Cyprinidae. The record is from Ensembl.